Molecule: long non-coding RNA, 2424 nt
Organism: Manis pentadactyla (Chinese pangolin)
Lineage: Eukaryota; Metazoa; Chordata; Mammalia; Pholidota; Manidae
Exons: 3
Source: RefSeq, a predicted model, not a curated record
AAAGUCCCAUCUAACUGCAUGUGAUGGAGGAACAAAUGGACAUCACCCAGAAAGAUGAACUUCGAAUUGCAUGUAUCAGCUGGAUGGAACUUUGGCUUGUCUCCCUGGUGGAGAGCUAAGUAUAUUUUGUGAGGGAAGAAGGAAACAAAGAAAUGUUUAGUGAUGAGAAGGGUGGAUUGUAGCAGACUUAGGAAAUGAUGGUCAAAGAUUGCUCACUUAUGUUUCUCAGGCUCUCUCUGCAGGGGGAUUGGGCACAUGAUUAGUGGACAUGGCCCUUUCUCACAGGAGCCAUUCUCACUUUUUUCACAUGGCUUCUUAUUUAGUGACUUACUUCAGGCAAUAUUACCUAAUUGGCCUCUCCAUUCCAGUGCAUACUUUGCUUGGAGCUUGCAUUAGUCCUCUUCUCUAUCAACAGAUACUGCUUUGUUCUUCUUGUGAUAAUGUUGUUCAACAUUUAGGGAAAAAGCUUAGUUUACAUAUAUCCAACAUUGGGCAGGCUUCGCCCCAAACGUGGAAACAGACUGUUGUUUUCAUGUCCUUGACAUUUUUGGAAUCAGCGAGAAAUGCUACAUAUGAAUGUGAGAGAUUUCAUUACCUCCGAGCACUGUCUAUUUUAAGCCCUCACCAUAUUUAUCAAGUGGAAAACUUGGUCUCAGUGAGCCUUGCAGAGAAUGUGAUUGGCUAUAAUCACCAGUUUUUAGUUUUGAAUCACUUCUCCAAAGGGUUACCCUAAGGAUUUCAGAAAUUUUUAUUUCUUGGCCUCAAAAGAUGACUCAUUCAACCAGAAUCUUUCCUUGAGUAAAAAAGUCACAGGAGAGACUAUUGCUGAUGUGGUGGCCAAAAGGAAGACCCUUAUCCAAGUAAUUGCUUCCUGACCUCCAGGCCUGGAGCUCUAAUUCUAUUGACAUCUCUGGCUGUCAAGAAUACCAGCAGCAUUGCUAAUGCAAUUGGUCUUAUCUUAAGAUGUACAUUCCUUUCCCCUAAACUGCCUUCCAUAGACACACACGUAAGAUUGUCUGUUUAUGGAUUGUAGCAGAUGGGACUAGUAGUUUGUCUUCCUCUGAUCUCCUAAUUCCUAUGAGCUACCAAGUUUACUCUUUGCCUAGCUGCUUAGAGAAGUCAAUUUUGUGUCUCCGAAGAUCAGAAUUAGGAGUUCCGGUGACCAGAGCACGUUUAAGGGGCAGAGCUGAUGGCCUAAGGUGGAGACUCCCUGUGACCAUGAGGUUUCUCAUGUGAUUUAGGGUGUUAGGGAUUUCCUCACUGGGGUAACUGAGCAUACCCCUAAUGUCUGUCCCUCUCAUGCUGCCCCCAGGGGAUGAGACUUAUGACUCCUGGUGGAGCCAUUGGGUGGAGGAGAGAAGGGGUGACCUUUGGGCAUAGCUAACUUAGAUUCUCCAGACAUGGGCUGUAUCAUUCUACAUUUACCAUGUGGAUGUAAGAAAAAGUCAUUACAGGAGAUUUUCAUCAUCUGAGUUUACCAUGUGUAAGUUUCCUUAGUUUCCAGUGAAAACUACUGUAUCAUAAAACAUCAAUAAAAUUACCUCCUAUAAAGUUAGUGCCCGCUCAACAUUAAUGUCUAUCUCUGCUCAUGGUAUCAGUAUCCAUGUCUGCUGGCUCCUGCUGGGUUUCUGAGGUAGCAAACAUCUUACAAUAAAAUGAAAAUAUAAGGGAAAAUGAUUGCAGGAGGAAAUGGAGAGUUUUGCAAAAGGUGCACUAUUUCAUGAAGUUGAUAACAGUGAUGCUGGAGAGCUCCUCCAGUCACACGUAAACUCAGACAAAUGAGGAUCUGCCAGGGUUAACAAACAAGUCAGGAGGGUUGACAUGUACAGUUCACAUUGUGGACUCUCAAAAGAGAUUCAUUGAAAUAUAAAUUUUUUCCUUGGAAAAAUUUCUGAAGUUCUUGGGUCUAUUUGUGAAAAUGACCUUCCCUAGGCAUAUAUAAAUGACCUUCAGGGCAUAUAUAAAGUGAUAUCAUUUUGCUUUUAGUUUAAUUGAAAAAGAUUUAUGAAAUCCAAACAAAUCAAUCAAUACUUGAUACAUUGUUCGUUCCUUUUAAGAAUUAACAACUAGUUGCAAUUAUGAUGAAUACUUUGUAAAAAUAGUACAAAACAGUUUCAUAAUUUUAGUUUCAUUUCUUUUUCAGGUUCAAGUUAUAAUAGAAGCAUUUGUCCCCCACUACUAAUGAUGUCCUCAUUUUAAGGAAAUUUAAAACCUUUUCAGGAUUGGAUCCCUGUUCCCUUGGCCUGGAAUGUUGGAAAAACUCCUAGUGCUGGUUUUCCAAAAGUACAGAUUAGGAAACCAAGAUGCACAAAGAAUAAAUAACUUACCCAACAUCACACAGCUGGCAAAUGACAGCGCUGCAAUUGAACCCAGACCUCUCUAAUUCUAAAGAAAAUGACUUCUCACUCACUUGUUUCCUGGGAA